AGUGAACGCUGGCGGUAGGCCUAACACAUGCAAGUUGAACGGCAGCACAGUAAGAGCUUGCUCUUACGGGUGGCGAGUGGCGGACGGGUGAGGAAUACAUCGGAAUCUACUUUUUCGUGGGGGAUAACGUAGGGAAACUUACGCUAAUACCGCAUACGACCUACGGGUGAAAGCAGGGGAUCUUCGGACCUUGCGCGAUUGAAUGAGCCGAUGUCGGAUUAGCUAGUUGGCGGGGUAAAGGCCCACCAAGGCGACGAUCCGUAGCUGGUCUGAGAGGAUGAUCAGCCACACUGGAACUGGGACACGGUCCAGACUCCUACGGGAGGCAGCAGUGGGGAAUAUUGGACAAUGGGCGCAAGCCUGAUCCAGCCAUACCGCGUGGGUGAAGAAGGCCUUCGGGUUGUAAAGCCCUUUUGUUGGGAAAGAAAAGCAGCAGGUUAAUACCCCGCUGUUCUGACGGUACCCAAAGAAUAAGCACCGGCUAACUUCGUG
RNAcentral lists this ribosomal RNA (492 nucleotides) under uncultured bacterium. RNAcentral describes it as "partial 16S ribosomal RNA". It matches the Rfam family "Bacterial small subunit ribosomal RNA", at positions 29 to 507 of the family's 1533-position model. The record is from RNAcentral.